AAUAAGUGCGGUUUUAACACUAUUCAUGUUCAACGUUUAACCGUUCGUCUUAUUUGAAAAAAGAUUAUGAUUAGUAUUUUUAUUGUUAUUAGAUGAUAAAAUAUGAAUAGUACUUUAUGUGUGAUUAAUUUUUUUUAAUAUUUUUCAUAAAAUUUUCAAAUAAGACGGAUAGUCAAAGCGCUAAACACGGAUAUUUAUGACUGCACUUAUU
This is a non-coding RNA of Oryza nivara, 211 nucleotides long. The record is from Rfam. NCBI's taxonomy places the organism in Eukaryota, Viridiplantae, Streptophyta, Magnoliopsida, Poales, Poaceae.